Molecule: long non-coding RNA, 323 nt
Organism: Thunnus maccoyii (southern bluefin tuna)
Lineage: Eukaryota; Metazoa; Chordata; Actinopteri; Scombriformes; Scombridae
Exons: 3
Source: RefSeq, a predicted model, not a curated record
GGACACACGCAGAGGCAUCAAAUUACCCUUUACGGCUCCGAUUUACUUCAUUUCAACUUAGUCGUUUGCGCUGUGAUGGAAGAGACAGACACUCCUCCUGGCUACUGUCACUGCAACCAAGCUCCAUGUUAACAACCUGACAACCAAGCAAUGAGAUUAGCUGUUCACCCUUGACCUGCCUCUUCAGAUUUAACUCCACCAGCUGUGUCACAGUGUCUGGGUCCUGUUGCCUACAGCUAGAAAUGAGAUAGAUGGCUUUGACAGCACAGAUAUCCAGCCCUCCAAAGAUCUCUGAGCAGGUAUCAACCCACAGCUUAUACCUG